CUGCGUGAACUCUAAAAGAGGGUGCGUGUCACAGGUGGAAUAAUUAAAAUCCAGCAUCCAACAUUGAUGAGCACAAAGAGGAUUCCGUUAUUGUCUGAGUACUAAAACCGGUGCAAAAAAAAAAAAAAAAAAACAUGAACAAACGACUGCAAGAUGGCUGCCCAUCCUCGCUUCGCUAUCUUAAUUGCGCUGAGUGCUGGAGAAGAUGGCGUGGCUGGACUGCCUGCUGCCUGUCUCGUCGGUGCUUUUUCUUCUCGUGACGAGCAGAAAAGAACAAGAACGUCUUUUGUUUGCCUUUGAUUGGUGCUCGAACAAUGGGACUGGCAGAAAAAAAAUAAAAGGGACAUUGCUUCGUAA
Molecule: long non-coding RNA, 357 nt
Organism: Syngnathoides biaculeatus (alligator pipefish)
Lineage: Eukaryota; Metazoa; Chordata; Actinopteri; Syngnathiformes; Syngnathidae
Exons: 2
Source: RefSeq, a predicted model, not a curated record